This 586-nucleotide long non-coding RNA is filed under the name Salmo trutta (river trout). Its description in RNAcentral is "lncRNA (ENSSTUG00000009004.1)". The record is from RNAcentral. Lineage: Eukaryota; Metazoa; Chordata; Actinopteri; Salmoniformes; Salmonidae.
GAGAAACAAGACCCGUGAUCUCUUGAAUAUAUUAUAGCUGGUUGACCAUUGUGCAAUAGUCAGGGAGGUAUGCAAUCCAGUUUCUAGGCGAACACGGCCGCUCAGAGCAAGGACCAACUACACAGCGAUUCGUCUCAGUUUUGUGCAUGGUUACAUUCCGAGUAGUGACGAUCGGUUCUACGCGGAUUAAGUAGUGAUACGAAUCUUUUUUUUGAGUUGCAUUGGAAGACGCUGCCAGCUACAGUUUUGAAAGGGAAACGAUUCGCCACAAUUGCAGACAUGGGAGCUACAACUUGAAGACAGACUAGACAAACUGUUGCGGAUACAAGGAAAAAUAACGAACAUAGCCUAAUUUUCUUGUUACCCACCGAUAUUUAUUGGAGCUAUCUAGCAGCUGAAGAAUACGGAAUCAAGUAUACAAUUCUAACCACGGGUAGAGUCAAAGACCAACAGACAGACCGAGAUACACACAGAGCAGAAGCUAAAGGGGAAGAGGAAGGCUGCCUGUCAGGGUCUCGUUGAUCCCCCGUUCCUCCGAUGAACCCCCUCAACUCCAUGAAACCCGGUCUGCCUCCCACUCCGCACA